RNAcentral lists this transfer RNA (61 nucleotides) under Camarochiloides weiweii. RNAcentral's name for it is "tRNA-Ala". It matches the Rfam family "tRNA". Rfam says of the family: Transfer RNA (tRNA) molecules are approximately 80 nucleotides in length. Their secondary structure includes four short double-helical elements and three loops (D, anti-codon, and T loops). Further hydrogen bonds mediate the characteristic L-shaped molecular structure. tRNAs have two regions of fundamental functional importance: the anti-codon, which is responsible for specific mRNA codon recognition, and the 3' end, to which the tRNAs corresponding amino acid is attached (by aminoacyl-tRNA synthetases). tRNAs cope with the degeneracy of the genetic code in two manners: having more than one tRNA (with a specific anti-codon) for a particular amino acid; and 'wobble' base-pairing, i.e. permitting non-standard base-pairing at the 3rd anti-codon position. The record is from RNAcentral. Lineage: Eukaryota; Metazoa; Arthropoda; Insecta; Hemiptera; Pachynomidae.
GGGGAUGUAGUUAAUCAUAACAUUUAAUUUGCAAUUAAAAGGUACACUUUAGUCUUCCUUA